AUUAACUCUGAUCAAAUAUUGACUCGGCAAAGAGAUGUUAAAAAUCAUGGCUGAUGAUUACGUCAUUGCAAUGCAUUGUGGGAUGCCUUGCAUUAAGUACAUUCUGAAUAAAGCCACAUCCUCAGCCAAAAGAAGACACCGGGACCACUGGAUUAAAAAACAUACAACCAAAAGUGUUUAUUAGUUUUGUCCUGUCUGGAACCUAGGAGCACAUCUCUCAGGUCAAAGGUCAUAGCGCUUCCCUGGGUCAUGGGUCCCAGCCGGUGUGGGGUCAGACAGGGAGGAGAUAAGGUGGGUGGGAGCAGGUCACACAGGAUGGCACAGAGUGAGACACACACACACACACACACACACACACACACACGCAAAUUCAUUUCUUAAACAACUCACUACAAACCUGUAUUAGUCUGUUGUAAUACACCACCACAUAAAACAAGUGAUGCGGUGAAGUUCAAACAGCCAAAGAAAGUGGCAGAGAAGAUGAGAAGUUCAUCUGGCA
Molecule: long non-coding RNA, 499 nt
Organism: Sinocyclocheilus anshuiensis
Lineage: Eukaryota; Metazoa; Chordata; Actinopteri; Cypriniformes; Cyprinidae
Exons: 3
Source: RefSeq, a predicted model, not a curated record